UUGUUAAGUAUUUAAGGCAUGCUUGCUUCUUAACUGCUUUAAAUUAAUUUUAUUUACGGGGCAGAUCAUACAGUGUGUAUUUACAAGGCAACCAUAAACAAGGACUGUUUAUUUACACAUUGCCCGUAUUAGCAGUACCUACUUCGGAGGCAUUUUUCCGAGGUAGGACCUCUCCUGGUGAAAUACAGUCAGUGCAGUUAACUGAGGGACGUCGCUGCUUCUCCUAGCCGAAAUUCUAACCUUGUGAUAUCACAGAUGUUGGCGAGUCUAUUAACAGAUGAGCUUAUGAAGCCCAGUGAGAGAUAAAAACACCGAAUGAUUUAAAAAAAAAGGAAGAAAAAAAAAACAAUAAACAAAAGCAAAACAACAACCAAGAAACACAGACUAUGGACGUUCUGCAGCUUCCGGAUUCGAGUUGCAUUGCGCUUAGAGUGGGAAGGGGGAGGGGGAUCCUGGCCGAAGGCCUAAGAGGCAAAGGGGGGAAAAACAUCAAAUUGUUUAAAAUAAAUAAAAAAGAUAAUAGUCAUAAAACUGUAUCGUGCUUGGUAAGGUGCAUAAUCUUUCUUGUCCAAUGAGUGAAUUGUUCAACUUUUGAUAUGAUGUUAGGUUUCCAAUCAUUCACACUCAUGGGGCUGGGAUAAUGUGUUGCAAACUAGAUAGAACAACAUUAUACAGGUAGCAACCUUAGCGAGAUGGCUAGUUAGAAUGGAGUCACUGGCACCAUGACAGCUGAACACACACUGAUGGUUAGCGAGCUGGCUCCAGCAAUGGAAUCUCAGCACCACAACCACCGCUGUGAUCCCCGACACCCACAGCGGUAGCACCCACUGCUGGGUCACGAAAGGGCUGCCUGCUGCCAUGCCAGAACAGACACGCUGACUUCUCAGCUUCUGAACAACAAAACGAACAUCAAACGGGAAGCUAUUCAAAAAGCGUUUUAAUGAAAGUGUGUCAAAAGCGAACCUGUGCUCAGCAAGUUACUUUGUGUUACUUUAGUUGCGUUUUGUCUGUCGGUUGCUCCAUGUAGCUGCUGCAUUACAUCUGCAGAAACAUCGCACCGAUUUGCAAAAUGAUUUUGCUGAAGACAUGGACAAAACAGAAUAAGGAAAACCAAACUGCACGAACAUUGCUUCAGGUAGCAGUAAGGAACGUGCAUAUAGUAUUUCCUACUGUGGACAUAGCCUUUCACAUAACCAUGACGUGUCAGUAAUCAACGCUUCUGGAGAACACUCUUUGUCCAAAAGCACAAUGGUUAAGAAAAUCAUACAAUCCUUAAUGAGACAAGAUGGACAAAGUCACCAAAUGCUGAUGUCCCUGGAAAGUGACAUUUUGGGCCUUGGAUUUUAGUAACCUCGUCGACGACGUUUCUUCCCGGAACAACAGCUUUCUAAAGACAAACGGGCUGCUGGGGCGUUCUGCUGUCACGCACUGUUGCCCCCAAAGACUCGCGCCCGAAAGGAAUCGCAGGAAAUUCCUCUCUCUCCUGGGCCUGUCGGAAGAGUCAUCAGCUGUGCUGACUCAGGGACCAGGGAGAGAAGACACAGGACCAGCUGCAUCAGUACUGCACCCAGCAGAGGAAGCAGUUUUGUAGCAGAGUUUGAGAAAGGAAUGCAGGGUUCCCAUGAAUCAGCGCACGCCUAUUAGCUUACCUGCUUCACAUUCAGAGGCCAUCAGCAGCCGGAAGACGCCAGGAGGGAAAAAGGAACUAAACCAUGAGGAAGUCCUGCUGGGAAUCAUUACAGCAGUUGGUACAUAUUGAGGAAGUCGGAGCCAUACACACAGACUGUCUGUUCCCAGGAGCAGACAGCUGUGACAGGGUGUGCUCCCUCUGCGACGCUGCAGACUCGGGCGCUGAUGUCCCAGUCCGCCACGCCGCUCACGUAAGCAAGCCACAGUGUGGCUGCUCCGGUUGGCCUCCUCUCCGCAAAGGACUCCACACAUUGCACCAAAAUGGAUUCCUGCCAUCAAACGAGAGUGGAUGAUGUUAGGUGGUCGCAACCUGCCAGGGAAAGACCGCGUAAAGAUGUUCAUGAUAUGAGGUGUCUGUUUGUUGAAUUUGACUUUAUUGAAUCAGUUAUGCACCCACACGCUUAUUUCUGCUGGGGUAAAAAAUGUGUCUCACUCAAAGUCUGCAGGGCCAGUCCUCACUCUGAAAAAAAAUAAAAAAUACGGCAGAGAGCUACUUGUGUUUGGUCUCCAGCUCAAAGCAAACCAGCAUCCCUGUGAUUGAAUGAUCUGCUCCGGUAUCAUGUGAAUGAAAACACUCUCUGUCUUUAAAGCAUUAUCUAAUCUCCAGAGGGUAGUUUGUCAAUGGGGGCACUUCACCUCCAGGAGAAGGAGGCGUUGAGCAGAGCCUACAGUGGGUAGAUGUUGGCGAUGUGGAUCAGUGGCUUAGGAGAUGGAAUAACUAGAAGAGAGCAAAUACAAAUCUUAGCUGGUUAGACGAUUUGUUACUUUCCUUUCUUGAGUAAGACAAUUGGCAUUGGGAAGUGUAUGACUGAGCAAAAUGGAUUCAAUGUAGACAGUGUGUUGCUGAUGGAUUGUGACUGGGCCAAUGUAUUGGAAGCUGAGCUGUAUAAAUAGUAUCCGUUAAAAAGGUAAAUGUUGCAUUUAGAGAGAGAAUAAAUUCUCUAUUCAUUUUAGCAUGCAUGCGUUUAGCAUAUGAAUCUACUAUAUUUUAGAACCUACAGUAUGAGAAUUAUCUUAGAGCAGACAUAAAGGUCCAUACUGUACUGUAAUAAAAAGAUCACUGGUUUGGUAAGCACAUGUGCAUUGACUUUUCAUACAAUCACACAGGCAUAUAUCUCUGAAAUUAGUUUUCUGUCUUUUGCAUCAGAAAUGGUGUUAUUAAUAGCCGGAAUAUAAUGAAGAAAAUGGAAGCUGUCUGCACUUUCUGUUGCUGUGUCUGCUCUCGGCUCUUCGUAUUCAGGGGACCGUAAUCUGGAGCUGGGAGAAAACCUUGUAGUUUCUGCAUUUAUAACAUCAUCAAAGAUCUGCC
Anguilla rostrata (American eel) is the source of this 2998-nucleotide long non-coding RNA. RefSeq lists it as uncharacterized. NCBI's taxonomy places the organism in Eukaryota, Metazoa, Chordata, Actinopteri, Anguilliformes, Anguillidae. The transcript is spliced from 7 exons. The record is from RefSeq and is a predicted model, not a curated record.